RNAcentral lists this long non-coding RNA (213 nucleotides) under Elaeis guineensis (African oil palm). Its description in RNAcentral is "long non-coding RNA (EGUI_LNC064416)". Lineage: Eukaryota; Viridiplantae; Streptophyta; Magnoliopsida; Arecales; Arecaceae. The record is from RNAcentral.
CCGGAACCUCGUCCCCAACUUCGACCGUUGGUAAGUUCCGUCCGGGAGCCAGAUUUUGCCUCUGACUUCAAUCGCAGGUAAAUUCUGUCCGGACUCCCACGGGAGUCGGACUUCGCUCCGACUUUGCUCACGGGAGCCGAACUCUCGUAGCCCCACCAAGAGCGGAGGAAAAAUUCCAAAUGAAAAAGAAAAAGGAGGAGGGGCUAAAAAGGA